This 578-nucleotide ribosomal RNA is filed under the name uncultured bacterium. Its description in RNAcentral is "partial 16S ribosomal RNA". It matches the Rfam family "Bacterial small subunit ribosomal RNA", at positions 355 to 932 of the family's 1533-position model. The record is from RNAcentral.
UGGGGAAUUUUGGACAAUGGGCGAAAGCCUGAUCCAGCAAUGCCGCGUGUGUGAAGAAGGCCUUCGGGUUGUAAAGCACUUUUGUCCGGAAAGAAAUCCUUGGCUCUAAUACAGUCGGGGGAUGACGGUACCGGAAGAAUAAGCACCGGCUAACUACGUGCCAGCAGCCGCGGUAAUACGUAGGGUGCAAGCGUUAAUCGGAAUUACUGGGCGUAAAGCGUGCGCAGGCGGUUUGCUAAGACCGAUGUGAAAUCCCGGGCUCAACCUGGGAACUGCAUUGGUGACUGGCAGGCUAGAGUAUGGCAGAGGGGGGUAGAAUUCCACGUGUAGCAGUGAAAUGCGUAGAGAUGUGGAGGAAUACCGAUGGCGAAGGCAGCCCCCUGGGCCAAUACUGACGCUCAUGCACGAAAGCGUGGGGAGCAAACAGGAUUAGAUACCCUGGUAGUCCACGCCCUAAACGAUGUCAACUAGUUGUUGGGGAUUCAUUUCCUUAGUAACGUAGCUAACGCGUGAAGUUGACCGCCUGGGGAGUACGGUCGCAAGAUUAAAACUUAAAUGAAUUGACGGGGUCAUAGCUG